RNAcentral lists this transfer RNA (76 nucleotides) under Legionella pneumophila. RNAcentral describes it as "tRNA-Ala". It matches the Rfam family "tRNA". From Rfam's summary of the family: Transfer RNA (tRNA) molecules are approximately 80 nucleotides in length. Their secondary structure includes four short double-helical elements and three loops (D, anti-codon, and T loops). Lineage: Bacteria; Pseudomonadati; Pseudomonadota; Gammaproteobacteria; Legionellales; Legionellaceae. RNAcentral also lists the same sequence under 1 other name. The record is from RNAcentral.
GGGGUUAUAGCUCAGAUGGGAGAGCGCUUGCAUGGCAUGCAAGAGGUCGGCGGUUCGAUCCCGCCUAGCUCCACCA